RNAcentral lists this ribosomal RNA (462 nucleotides) under uncultured bacterium. RNAcentral describes it as "partial 16S ribosomal RNA". It matches the Rfam family "Bacterial small subunit ribosomal RNA", at positions 28 to 507 of the family's 1533-position model. The record is from RNAcentral.
GACGAACGCUGGCGGCGUGCUUAACACAUGCAAGUCGUACGGUAAGGCCCUUUCGGGGGUACACGAGUGGCGCACGGGUGAGUAACACGUGAGUAACCUGCCCACAACUUUGGGAUAACGCUAGGAAACUGGUGCUAAUACUGGAUAUGUGCUCCUGCUGCAUGGUGGGGGUUGGAAAGCUCCGGCUGUGGAUGGACUCGCGGCCUAUCAGCUUGUUGGUGGGGUAGUGGCCUACCAAGGCGGCGACGGGUAGCCGGCCUGAGAGGGUGACCGGCCACAUUGGGACUGAGAUACGGCCCAGACUCCUACGGGAGGCAGCAGUGGGGAAUAUUGCACAAUGGGCGCAAGCCUGAUGCAGCAACGCCGCGUGCGGGAUGACGGCCUUCGGGUUGUAAACCGCUUUCAGCAGGGACGAAGCUUUUUGUGACGGUACCUGCAGAAGAAGCACCGGCUAACUACGUG